UACAGUUUAUUUUCUUUCGAUUAGCGAGUUGUUGCAGUGCUAGAGUUUGGUAACGUUACCGUCUUUCAGUGUUAGGACAGACCAGGCUCGAUGUAUUCUCUGAGAGCAGACCAACAUAAUGCUAAUAAUUACAUUUAACGUUACUAUGCUCCUGAGGCUGAAUGUAACAGGGUUUUCCUGCGUUAUGAUUUUUUUCCCAGCCGAUAAGCAAGUGAUAUUGCAAGCGAGGUGCCGGAACAAAUCGUAUGAUGUUUAUCUAGGCUAACGCUCAACACUUUAAAAGCUAACGUUACGUUAACUUUCAGAGGUGGAGGUCUUGAGUUACGUUACUACACUCUAAAUAAAGAAAAUUAAGUUACAUGACAUUGACUUCGAGUCUUGAGAACGAAUAUUCUAAAGUCUCGAACCGCAUGCCUUGAUAAUGACUUGUUUUUUGGGGGUUUAAACAUUUUACCUGUUUUUAGUUUAUAAUUUUCCAGCUGGGCUGGUUGUGAUAAAAGGCAGUGUAACAGGACGUAAAGGCAGGGAGAUAUUCAGUAUUUUUCUGCAAAGAAAGUGCCAGCCAGUGAGGGAGAGUCCGCGUGAUGGUUUAACGUUACACACAGUGAGUUCAGAGCCUGCCUGCUCAACAGGAGACCUCUUGGUUCAGGAAGAUUUGAGCAUAAAUCAGAACAGCCCUGUACACCCAGCUGUCUCUAGGGAUGAAACAGAUGAGAGUGAAAGUGAUGUGAAAGAGAUGGAUACUUGUCACCCACCUUCAGAAGUGUAAUCUGAGCUUCCACUUACUUCUGAUACUGCUCUUACUGGACCUGAUGACAGAAGAAGAAUGGAGAAGUGAUCAUCUCUCCUUGGUUGAACGAAGUUGGAGAAAACCUUUUUCAAGUUAACCCUGUUAAAAUCUCUGACAAUAAAAGUCAUAACUGAUCCCUGUGUCCAAUUAUUUUAAGACAACAGAAGUAUUUUACAAAUAUUACUAAAGUACAGAAUGUGUUGUAGGCCGUUAUUGUGUCAUGACUCAGUCGAUGUGAAAAGAGGAAAUGAGAAACACAGGAAGAGUUACAAAUGUUCUCAUGAAGAAAUAUAAGUAGAUGAUGAGAAGAGACUCAGUAAGAGAAACACAACAUGACUGAGAAGAGUGAUAUAUGUCUGCUGGGACUGAUCCUUCUCUCUUCACUAUUCACAGGUAAACUAUACAACACAUUUAUUUCAUCACAUUUCA
Triplophysa dalaica is the source of this 1219-nucleotide long non-coding RNA. RefSeq lists it as uncharacterized. The transcript is spliced from 4 exons. The record is from RefSeq and is a predicted model, not a curated record. NCBI's taxonomy places the organism in Eukaryota, Metazoa, Chordata, Actinopteri, Cypriniformes, Nemacheilidae.